RNAcentral lists this ribosomal RNA (482 nucleotides) under uncultured bacterium. RNAcentral's name for it is "partial 16S ribosomal RNA". It matches the Rfam family "Bacterial small subunit ribosomal RNA", at positions 28 to 507 of the family's 1533-position model. The record is from RNAcentral.
GACGAACGCUGGCGGCGUGCUUAACACAUGCAAGUCGAACGCUGAAGCUCAGCUUGCUGGGUGGAUGAAUGGCGAACGGGUGAGUAACACGUGAGUAACCUGCCCUCUUCUUUGGGAUAACGCCCGGAAACGGGUGCUAAUACUGGAUAUUCACUGAUUCUCGCAUGGGGGUUGGUGGAAAGGUUUUUUCUGGUGGGGGAUGGGCUCGCGGCCUAUCAGCUUGUUGGUGGGGUGAUGGCCUACCAAGGCUUUGACGGGUAGCCGGCCUGAGAGGGUGACCGGUCACAUUGGGACUGAGAUACGGCCCAGACUCCUACGGGAGGCAGCAGUGGGGAAUAUUGCACAAUGGGCGAAAGCCUGAUGCAGCGACGCCGCGUGAGGGAUGGAGGCCUUCGGGUUGUAAACCUCUUUCGCUCAUGGUCAAGCCGCAGCUUUGGGUUGUGGUGAGGGUAGUGGGUAAAGAAGCGCCGGCUAACUACGUG